RNAcentral lists this ribosomal RNA (427 nucleotides) under uncultured bacterium. Its description in RNAcentral is "bacterial SSU rRNA". It matches the Rfam family "Bacterial small subunit ribosomal RNA", at positions 355 to 796 of the family's 1533-position model. The record is from RNAcentral.
CCGAGAAUAUUCGACAAUGGGCGCAAGCCUGAUCGAGCGAUACCGCGUGGUGGAUGAAGCGCUUCGGCGCGUAAACACCUUUUAUGGAGGAGGAAGUUAUUGACGUUACUCCAUGAAUAAGGGGCUCCUAACUCUGUGCCAGCAGGAGCGGUAAUACAGAGGCCCCGAGCGUUACCCGGAAUUACUGGGCGUAAAGAGUGCGUAGGUGGUCGUGUUAGUCGUUUGUUAAAUCCCAGGGCUCAACCCCGGAGAUGCGGACGAAACGGCACGACUCGAGAGCGUGAGAGGUACAUGGAACUCAUGGUGUAGGGGUGAAAUCCGUUGAUAUCAUGGGGAACACCGAAAGCGAAGGCAAUGUACUGGCGCGUUUCUGACACUCAAGCACGAAAGCGUGGGUAGCGAACGGGAUUAGAUACCCCCGUAGUCC